CCUACGGGAGGCUGCAGUGGGGAAUAUUGGACAAUGGGGGGAACCCUGAUCCAGCCAUGCCGCGUGUGUGAAGAAGGCCCUCGGGUUGUAAAGCACUUUCAGUGAGGAAGAACGCCUGGUGGUUAAUACCCAUCAGGAAAGACAUCACUCACAGAAGAAGCACCGGCUAACUCCGUGCCAGCAGCCGCGGUAAUACGGAGGGUGCGAGCGUUAAUCGGAAUUACUGGGCGUAAAGCGCGCGUAGGUGGCUUGAUAAGCCGGUUGUGAAAGCCCCGGGCUCAACCUGGGAACGGCAUCCGGAACUGUCAAGCUAGAGUGCAGGAGAGGAAGGUAGAAUUCCCGGUGUAGCGGUGAAAUGCGUAGAGAUCGGGAGGAAUACCAGUGGCGAAGGCGGCCUUCUGGACUGACACUGACACUGAGGUGCGAAAGCGUGGGUAGCAACCAGGAUUAGAUACCCCAGUAGUC
RNAcentral lists this ribosomal RNA (465 nucleotides) under Vreelandella stevensii. RNAcentral's name for it is "partial 16S ribosomal RNA". It matches the Rfam family "Bacterial small subunit ribosomal RNA", at positions 338 to 795 of the family's 1533-position model. Lineage: Bacteria; Pseudomonadati; Pseudomonadota; Gammaproteobacteria; Oceanospirillales; Halomonadaceae. The record is from RNAcentral.